UACGUAGGGGCAAGCGUUAUCCGGAAUUACUGGGCGUAAAGGGUGCGUAGGUGGUUUCUUAAGUCAGAGGUGAAAGGCUACGGCUCAACCGUAGUAAGCCUUUGAAACUGGGAAACUUGAGUGCAGGAGAGGAGAGUGGAAUUCCUAGUGUAGCGGUGAAAUGCGUAGAUAUUAGGAGGAACACCAGUUGCGAAGGCGGCUCUCUGGACUGUAACUGACACUGAGGCACGAAAGCGUGGGGAGCAAAACAGGAUUAGAUACCCUGGUAGUCCCUGAG
This 277-nucleotide ribosomal RNA is filed under the name uncultured prokaryote. Its description in RNAcentral is "partial 16S ribosomal RNA". It matches the Rfam family "Bacterial small subunit ribosomal RNA", at positions 524 to 801 of the family's 1533-position model. The record is from RNAcentral.